AUUGAACGCUGGCGGCAGGCUUAACACAUGCAAGUCGAACGAGUGGCGGACGGGUGAGUAAUGCUUGGGAAUCUAGCUUACGGCGGGGGAUAACUACGGGAAACUGUAGCUAAUACCGCGUACCAUAGGAUGAGCCCAAGUGGGAUUAGGUAGUUGGUGAGGUAAAUGCUCACCAAGCCGACGAUCUCUCGCUGGUCUGAGAGGAGGAGAAGCCACACUGGGACGGGGACACGGCCCAGACUCCUACGGGAGGCAGCAGUGGGGAAUAUUCGGCAAUGGGCGCAAGCAUGAUGCAGCCAUGCCGCGUGUAUGAAGAAGGUCUUAGGGUUGGAAAGUUCUUUUAGCGGGGAGGCGUUACCCACACAAGAAGCACCGGCUAACUCCGUGCCAGCAGCCGCGGUAAUAC
Molecule: ribosomal RNA, 406 nt
Filed under: uncultured bacterium
Lineage: Bacteria
Description: partial 16S ribosomal RNA
Rfam family: Bacterial small subunit ribosomal RNA
Source: RNAcentral